This 407-nucleotide ribosomal RNA is filed under the name uncultured bacterium. RNAcentral's name for it is "partial 16S ribosomal RNA". It matches the Rfam family "Bacterial small subunit ribosomal RNA", at positions 28 to 526 of the family's 1533-position model. The record is from RNAcentral.
GACGACCGCUGGCGGCGUGCUUAACACCUGCAAGUCGAACGAAGCGGCGGACGGGUGAGUAAUGCCUAGGAAUCUGCCUGAUCGUGGGGGAUAACGUCCGGAAACGGGCGCUAAUAACGCCUCCUAUCAGAUGAGCCUAGGUCGGCUUGGCUAGUUGGGGGGGUAAAGGCCUACCAAGGCGACGAUCCGUAACUGGUCGGAGAGGAUGAUCAGCAACACUGGAACGGAGACACGGUCCAGACUCCGACGGGAGGCAGCAGUGGGGAAUAUUGGACAAUGGGCGAAAGCCUGAUCCAGCCAUGCCGCGUGUAUGAAGAAGGCCUUCGGGUUGUAAAGUACUUUCAGCGGGGAGGCGUUACCCGCAGAAGAAGCACCGGCUAACUCCGUGCCAGCAGCCGCGGUAAUAC